ACCUGAAACCCUAAAACUCAACUCUAAACCCUAAACCAUCAAUCCUAAACCCUUUUUUUUGAAAUACGAACCCUAAACCCUAAACCAUCAAUCCUAAACCCUAUUUGUUUUUGAAAUACGAACCCUAAACCCUGAAACAUCAACUCUAAACCCUAAACCCCAAAACAUCAACUCUAAACCCUAAACCCUAAACCUUCAACACUAAACCAUGAAACAUCAACUCUAAACCCUAAACUUCAACUCUAAACUCUAAAUCAUCAACACUAAACCUUAAACUAUCAACACCAAAUCCUAAACCUUAAAAACUAAACUCUAAACCCUAAACCCUAAAAAAUUAACCC
RNAcentral lists this long non-coding RNA (341 nucleotides) under Brassica napus (rape). Its description in RNAcentral is "long non-coding RNA (BNAP_LNC003184)". The record is from RNAcentral. Lineage: Eukaryota; Viridiplantae; Streptophyta; Magnoliopsida; Brassicales; Brassicaceae.